Molecule: ribosomal RNA, 253 nt
Filed under: uncultured bacterium
Lineage: Bacteria
Description: partial 16S ribosomal RNA
Rfam family: Bacterial small subunit ribosomal RNA
Source: RNAcentral
GACAGAGGGUGCAAACGUUGUGCGGAAUUACUGGGCGUAAAGCGCGUGUAGGCGGCCCUGCAAGUCGGAUGUGAAAUCCCACGGCUCAACCGUGGAAGUGCAUUCGAAACUGCAGGGCUAGAGUCCUGGAGAGGAAGGUGGAAUGCUUGGUGUAGAGGUGAAAUUCGUAGAUAUCAAGCGGAACACCGGUGGCGAAGGCGGCCUUCUGGACAGUGACUGACGCUGAGACGCGAAAGCGUGGGGAGCAAACAGG